This 497-nucleotide ribosomal RNA is filed under the name uncultured bacterium. RNAcentral's name for it is "partial 16S ribosomal RNA". It matches the Rfam family "Bacterial small subunit ribosomal RNA", at positions 28 to 507 of the family's 1533-position model. The record is from RNAcentral.
GAUGAACGCUGGCGGCGUGCCUAAUACAUGCAAGUCGAGCGAACAGACGAGGAGCUUGCUCCUCUGACGUUAGCGGCGGACGGGUGAGUAACACGUGGAUAACCUACCUAUAAGACUGGGAUAACUUCGGGAAACCGGAACUAAUACCGGAUAAUAUAUUGAACCGCAUGGUUCAAUAGUGAAAGACGGUUUUGCUGUCACUUAUAGAUGGAUCCGCUCCGCAUUAGCUAGUUGGUAAGGUAACGGCUUACCAAGGCAACGAUGCGUAGCCGACCUGAGAGGGUGAUCGGCCACACUGGAACUGAGACACGGUCCAGACUCCUACGGGAGGCAGCAGUAGGGAAUCUUCCGCAAUGGGCGAAAGCCUGACGGAGCAACGCCGCGUGAGUGAUGAAGGUCUUCGGAUCGUAAAACUCUGUUAUUAGGGAAGAACAAAUGUGUAAGUAACUAUGCACGUCUUGACGGUACCUAAUCAGAAAGCCACGGCUAACUACGUG